GACGAACGCUGGCGGCGUGCUUAACACAUGCAAGUCGAACGGAAAGGCCCUGCUUUUGUGGGGUGCUCGAGUGGCGAACGGGUGAGUAACACGUGAGUAACCUGCCCUUGACUUUGGGAUAACUUCAGGAAGCUGGGGCUAAUACCGGAUAGGAGCUCCUGCUGCAUGGUGGGGGUUGGAAAGUUUCGGCGGUUGGGGAUGGACUCGCGGCUUAUCAGCUUGUUGGUGGGGUAGUGGCUUACCAAGGCUUUGACGGGUAGCCGGCCUGAGAGGGUGACCGGCCACAUUGGGACUGAGAUACGGCCCAGACUCCUACGGGAGGCAGCAGUGGGGAAUAUUGCACAAUGGGCGGAAGCCUGAAGCAGCAACGCCGCGUGCGGGAUGACGGCCUUCGGGUUGUAAACCGCUUUCGCCUGUGACGAAGCGUGAGUGACGGUAAUGGGUAAAGAAGCACCGGCUAACUACGUG
This 468-nucleotide ribosomal RNA is filed under the name uncultured bacterium. RNAcentral describes it as "partial 16S ribosomal RNA". It matches the Rfam family "Bacterial small subunit ribosomal RNA", at positions 28 to 507 of the family's 1533-position model. The record is from RNAcentral.